GAAUUCCUCGAUACCUUAUCCCGUGUUGCUCGUGGAUCUCGUCAAGAGAAGUUAUCCUGGGUGUUCGCUCUGUACGAUGUGGAUGGAGAUGGGCGGAUAUCGCGUAGUGAGAUGUUAGCUGUGGUACGUGCGGUGUAUGAGCUACUGGGGCGGGCGGCCGUCCCGCCCAUACAUAAGGCGGCAGCUGAGGACCACGUUGACAGGAUCUUCCACCUCAUGGACGCGAACGCGGACGGCGCGGUGACGCCGGACGAG
This 255-nucleotide unclassified non-coding RNA is filed under the name Melitaea cinxia (Glanville fritillary). Its description in RNAcentral is "misc RNA ENSMCXG00005020458.1". Lineage: Eukaryota; Metazoa; Arthropoda; Insecta; Lepidoptera; Nymphalidae. The record is from RNAcentral.